GCCAUGUCAGAUGUUCAGCUUUCAGAAAUCGAUCACAAACUGGAACACUCACUACCGGGUUUGCAGAGUUUGGGAGCCAAAAUGUCCGAGUACCAAGGCAUUUGACUAUCAAGGUAUGACUGUACUGACCUAGAUCAACCAAUGGCCUGACUCAGUAUGAGACAGCUUCCUGUGUUCAGAUUUUUGGGUCACUGGGUCAAACAGCACAAUGCCUGUGGUCAUACAGAAUGAACCCUCAUCUAUAACCUACCCAUAUUCAACCUCAGAUAAUAUAUCUCAGUAAAGAAGCUGCAGUUUGGCAUCUUGUUAUGACACUAAUGGGACAUGUGGCAUGAGCAAAGUGAUCUAUCUGAUGGAGCAGAAAAUGCCUUUGAUUAAUGGAAAAUGAAUGCCAUUCAUCUUAAUGUGAUUUCUAUUAUACAGGUUCAAUAGAUAAUGAGAUCUUUUAUCUUUCUUUGCUAAGCAUAGGUAGCUAACCCUGAGGGGCAAGCUCUGUGUUUAAAAGAGAGAGAAAACACUCGACUUUCUCUCUCUCUCUCUGCUUUACUUUUUAAAAGAUAUAGUAUUUUUAGACGUCUGGUGACAAUUUAGCCACAACAUGGAGACCAAUUAAUGACUCUCUUGAGAAAGGAAAUGGGUCAACUUUACCAACUCUUCAUGUGACUCAGGAGAAUAUCUACAUCAGGAACAUGUGAAAUAUUUCCCGUUACUCUGACAGAUAAUUUCUACCUUUCCUAUCCUGUUGAAAUUGUCUGGCAACGACACUGAUCCACCUAAGUAAAAAUUAAUUUUUCACAACACACUAAAUAACAAUAACAAUAAUAAUAUAUUUAUACCCCGCCCACCUGGCUGGGUUUCCCCAGCCACUUUUGGUGGCUCUCAACAGAAUAAUAAUAAUAAAGUGAUAAAACAUCAAAAAUUAAAAACUCCUCUAACAGUGCUGCCUUCAGCCAUCUUCCUAAAGUCAGGUAGUUGUCUAUUUCCUUGACAUCUGAUCGGAGGGCGUUCCACAGGGUGGGCACCACUACCAAGAAGGCCCUCUGCCUGGUUCCCUGCAACCUCACUUCUCACAGUGAGGCAACCGCCAGAAGGCCCUCAGAGCUGGACCUCAGUGUCCGGGCUGAAUGAUGGGGAUGGAGAUGCUCCUUCAGGUAUACUGGGCAGAGGCCAUUUAGGGGUUUAAAGGUCAGCACCAACACUUUGAAUUGUGCUCGGAAACAUACUGAGAGCCAAUGUAGGUCUUUCAGGACUGGUGUUAUAUGGUCCCGGCGGCUACUCUCUCUCUUUUUUAUAUUUUUUACUAAAUUUUAUUAGUAUUUUCGACACAACAACAACACAAAAGAUAUCUAAAAAUAACAAUACACAACACACACAAAUCAACAUUUGAAAACUAAAGAAAGCAACAACAACUACAAAAACAAAUCCAUAUCUUACAAGUUAAUAUUAUAAACACUAAAGCAACAACAAGACAUUGACUUCCACCAAUCCCACAGCACCUCCUUUAUCUCUCAUUGUGUCUUCCUAUUUUCCUGUUUUCUUUAUCAUCUCUAUCCUAACAUCUAGAUAUAAAUCCCUCUUUCAUAUCUUCAGUCACUCUCAGUCACCAGUCUAGCUGCUGCAUUCUGGAUCAGUUGUAGUUUCCGGGUCACCUUCAAAGGUAGCCCCACGUAGAGCGCAUUGCAGUAGAGUGCAUUGCAGAAAAACAGAUGUGUAUUUUAUGUGUAUGAGCCCUUGUAUUUGCAUGUCAUGUUUCCCAUUCAAAGGCACAAUCUUUUCAAUCAAUAUAAUGUAAAUUUAAAUCACUUAUGUGCAUCAUGUUACUGCUGACUUCGGUGCAUCUCGUCACUCUUGUUUUUCCCCAAAGAUCCACUGAUAAUAAUCUCAAAACUUGCUGCCUGAUUGGGUUGCUUCUCUGUGUGUUUUACAAUGGGAGAGGAAAAUCCUGGUGAUAUUUGCGGCAUCACCAACACCAUGCAUUCAAAGCACAUGAAUUCCCCAAAGAAACUUGGAAACUGUAGUUUGUUAAUGAUGCUGGGAUCUUUCUGGCACCUAAUCCUCUCAGCUUCUUUCAAGAGCCUGCCUCCUCUCCAGUCAUUUCUGGUACAUCCUGCUCAGCGGCAGACUUCUGGGUCCUUAGAGUGAUGAUUCAGCCACUGUGCUCACCAUUUGCAGUCUCUGGCCAUUCUGUUUUUCACAGAUAUGCCAGACACAAUCCAAGUGAUACUCCACGCCACAGUUUGGCAGAUUUAUGCCAUUUAAAUGUGGACUUUUUGUGCAUUUCCCCACAAAAUCCAAAACAAAGAGGAUGUAAUGCAGGCAUCCCCAAACUUGGCCCUCCAGAUGUUUUGGGACUGCAAUUCCCAUCAUCCCUGACCACUGGUCCUGUUAGCUAGGGAUGAUGGGAGUUGUAGUCCCAAAACAUCUGGAAGGCUGAGUUUGGGGAUACCUGAUAUAAUGGAUCUAGGAUUGAGCACCAAUGAGACUGAAACGGGAUUGGUCUUCCAGGUAUAAUGGAAAUGCACCACAAUUUGCCAUGAAAACUUUGUUCAGGUAUAACACCAACAGGUGUGUUGUUUUCUUUUGUUUUCUUUGUCUUAUGGGAGCAUAUUGUUCAAAUGUUGCCUUAUAAUUUCCCAAUAGCAAAUGUUGUCAUGUGGGAAUAUCUGUCAACAGCCAAAAAAAAAUUUAAAAAAUAAAAAGAGUAGUAUUUUAAUUCACACACUACUGAUGAAACUGAGAGAACUCUGGAGAAAUGAAAGACACAAAUUGGCAGUCAGGGCAAUGAAUGUGUAGUCCUGUAUUUUUCCUAUUAGUAUUUUAGACGUACAAAAGUGAUUGUUACUUUGUUUUUCUCUGCAUACGUAAUUACUUCUGCCUAAGGAACUGUAUAUAAAUCAGUUAAUGUAAACAUGGUAUGCUAUACUGACACGGAGAGCAAUCCAGAUUUCAAUGGAAAACAUCUUAGACAGUUUAGAAACUAAUAAGAGAAAACACAAUCAUAUAUGACUUUUGCCCAUGGGGACUGGUGUGUUGGAAGGCAGGGAACACCUUCUGGACUCCCCUCCCCCCCCAAAAAAAAAAGCCAAUUGUGGAGCCUGGGAGAGGAGAGAGGGGAAGUCCAUUGCUCUAAGUGGAAGUUUGUGCACAGGACUUCUGCUUGCAGGAAGUAAGGUGGGUGAAUCCUGCCCAAUCUGAGUAUGCCUAACAUUAGAUACAAUACUAUACCUACUUUACAGAUCUGUUUAUGUACAUGGUCAGUCCUACCAUUUGGUAGAGUGUAGGAGCUGCCUCAGGCUACCUCACAGGUUGAGGUGGUUCUCCCACAAGAUUUUGCACUGCCAGUUUCUCUCAACAACAGAAACCUUUGAGAUUGGUUCAGUAAGAAAUCAACUUUAGGGUUGUUGGUUUUUUGUAUGUGCUAUGGCUGUUUCUAAUUUAAUAUAGAUUUAUUUCAUUAGCUACCGUAUUGGCCUGGAUAUAAGCCGCACCCACAAAUAAGCUGCACCUUUAAAAUUCAAGGGGGGGGGAGAAAAAAAGACAAUACCUGGGAUGUAGCACUGCUUUGCCGGCGGCCUCCCCUCCCCCCCCUGACGGCUAUGGGGAGGCUUGGGAGCGGCGGCCGGCCCUCCAUUGCCCUGCGCUCCCAGGCUGCUUCUUGGGGGGAAACUGCACCACUUUGCCAGUGGCAUAAGGUCAUGAAUAUAAGCCACACUUUAACUUUUCAUGAUCAGAAUUUGGAAAAAAAAAGUGUGGCUUAUAUUUGGGCCAAUCUGGUAUUUGACUUCUAUAUUUUUUGUAAUACAUUCAAAGUUUUUUACGUAUACAUAUGUGUAUGUGUUUGUGUAGUUGAAGAAUAACUUAAUAAAUGUAUUUCAAUCUUUUUAGAUAAGCCCUUGAAAAGGGCAUUUGGGGCUAAAAUGUGUUGAGCACAUAGUAUAGAUAACAAAUCCAUUCAUUUCUCUUCCUUGUAUGCCAGCUGAUUUUGAGUGUCACAAAAGGAGAGCAAAUUCAUCAUUUAAUGUAUUAUUGUUGUUAUUUCUACUGACAUGGAGGAGAGGAGGCCCUUGUGAGAUCUUCUGCCAAAAUAACUUGGCUAGCCUUUGAUAUUAUGGAUCUGUAUUUGUUGGGAUGGGCAAUUGCUGCCCUGCUUCAGGCAGCAAAAUAUCUUGCGUCAGCCCUGUAUAUAUUUAUCAAUACUAUUGAUGAUCCAGAUUCAUUUCAUAACCCAAAUCUCAGGAGAGCUAGCCCACCAAGCCCCAAAACAGCAGCAAUGUUUGUCACUUGUUUAUCUGUAAUAUAGAAGCAUCCAAGGUGAACUCUGAAUGGGGUUGUUAAUGAAGGGGGUCAUCCUACAGUAUACGUCAACAAUGGCCUCUCACCUUUGAAACAAACCUUUCAGUGCAAGAACCCAUAAUCCAUACUCCCCUUUUGUUAUUGCUGCUUAUAUAAAGUGAUGAACAAAUAGGGCAGGCCACAGUGUUUUCUUCUUUUGAAAUUGACAACACUUCUGGUGUUUUUCAGAAGCUCAGAUAGUUUAACACAUUCGCUUUUCAGCAGGUGGGUUGUGAGUACUGUGUCAGAUCCUGACCUCAGCUGAAUUGGACUAAGUUUUAUUAUUCCAGUUAUCUUUUAUUUUUGAGAAAGGGGAGGAGAGGUAGAAAUGCAGGGCCAAACUACAUAUAGAUAUUACUUUUCUGCAGUUAUGCAUUAAAAUAAUAAUAAUAAUAAUAAUAAAAGGUUCAGGAAGUUGCAGUUUUGAGGAAAGGAAUCCUCAGAUAGGGGAUGAAUAACCCUUCUCCUUCCUAAACAUGGUUCUCUGGUCUAAAUAAGUUUAUACUUGUUUUUCAUGCAUGAAGCCUAAGAUUCAUGCAUGAAGCUCUUGCACCUCCUGAAAAGAUGGAGCCACUAUGGUACUGAGCUGUAGAACUAGUCUAUUCUCUUCUACUCUAUAUGUGAUUCCAGAGAAUAUUGGAGAAGGAGACAUAACUAGUUGCAUUCUCUAAAUGUAUUCCACUGCACCAGCAUAAGCCCACUUUCUACUGCUGGGGUAGGGAACCUUUGGCCCUCUAGAUGUUGUUGGCUUCAGCUAGCAUAUUUAGUGAUCAGGGAUGAUGGGACUUGGAAUCCAACAAUGUCUGGAGUGCCACAGGUUCCACAUCUCUGUUCUAGAGGGUCCUUUGGGGAGCAGGAGAUAGCUGCUCUUAACUUGCAAGAUAAAACUAAAGUAGAGGGGAGCACUUUAAUAUACACACUGUAAACUCAGAGGAAUAGGGAGAUGUCAGUUUCAGAAAACCCAAAUGAUAAUAACCGAGAUUUCUGGUGCGUGUUUCUGCCAAUGAAUCAUUUCAGAAAGUCUGCUUGAUCCUUUGAAAUUGAAAUGAUCUUAGGCGUAACUCAUUCCGUUCUGUUGGCUAGAAUAUUGGCAAAAGUUAAUAAACAAGAAGGGUCAAUAAUUACUGCUGGACCAGGAAUUUGUAUUAGCUAUUCAGUCACUGAUCACUGGCUCAGAGAAUGAUUCAUGGACUCAGCUUGUACAAUGUAGCUUGUCAAAUGCAAGUUUCAGCUUGGGAGAGAGACAUUCACUGAACUGUUUAAAGAAUCCUGCAAUGAAAUCAUUGGAGCCAGAAGAGUUUUAACAUUUUCUAAGUCCUUCGCUGCUGUUGUAGUUCUCCUCAGCUCUUGGAAAGUCCAACAAUUUGUUUUUCUUCUUACUCUUCUUUCUGAUUUUGUAAUUAAACACAAUGUCAAAUUUACCUUUCACAACUGCAUCCAAUGUUUCCUGUAUGUGGGGCUGCCCCACUUUUAACUCACAAGAACCUAGAGAGUUCAGUUAGGUUGGGAGAUAGUGGCACAACAGAUCUAGGCUGAGCCUUCACAGCUUGUGACCACCAAAGCGCUUGCAACCGACUAGCCACAUAUUGUGAUCACCAGGUGUUUUAUGCCUCCCAAUAUAUAUAAUUAUAUAUUUCAGCAGCUCAAUCACACCCCUAUUUUUUUGCAGAUGAUUGCUUCUGAAAGUUUACUAAGCCCCUGAUGGGAUACCACACAUAGCUAAUAAAUUGUGUUUGAUUUCAGUUCAGCAAAAUUUCAGACCUACUUCAUGCAAUGGAAUGAGGAACAAAGACAGAAAAGGACACAGCAUCAUGUUGGUUCAGAAAAACGGAAGAGAAUGAAGUAGAGGUUUGGGGCAUAUAUUGUUAGGUGAGAGAAACCCAUCACAGAUUUAAAAUCUCAAAAUAUGCAGC
This is a non-coding RNA of Podarcis lilfordi (Lilford's wall lizard), 6245 nucleotides long. NCBI's taxonomy places the organism in Eukaryota, Metazoa, Chordata, Lepidosauria, Squamata, Lacertidae. The record is from the annotation of a GenBank genome assembly.